RNAcentral lists this transfer RNA (67 nucleotides) under Cryomorphaceae bacterium. Its description in RNAcentral is "tRNA-Ala". It matches the Rfam family "tRNA". From Rfam's summary of the family: Transfer RNA (tRNA) molecules are approximately 80 nucleotides in length. Their secondary structure includes four short double-helical elements and three loops (D, anti-codon, and T loops). The record is from RNAcentral. Lineage: Bacteria; Pseudomonadati; Bacteroidota; Flavobacteriia; Flavobacteriales; Cryomorphaceae.
UAGCUCAGCUGGCUAGAGCGCCUGCCUUGCACGCAGGAGGUCAUCGGUUCGACUCCGAUAUUCUCCA